AGGAGGCAGCAGUGGGGAAUUUUGGACAAUGGGCGAAAGCCUGAUCCAGCAAUGCCGCGUGCAGGAUGAAGGCCUUCGGGUUGUAAACUGCUUUCGUACGGAACGAAAAGACUCUGGUUAAUACCUGGGGUUCAUGACGGUACUGUAAGAAUAAGCACCGGCUAACUACGUGCCAGCAGCCGCGGUAAUACGUAGGGUGCAAGCGUUAAUCGGAAUUACUGGGCGUAAAGCGUGCGCAGGCGGUGAUGUAAGACAGAUGUGAAAUCCCCGAGCUCAACCUGGGAACUGCAUUAGUGACUGCAUCGCUGGAGUGCGGCGGAGGGGGAUGGAAUUCCGCGUGUAGCAGUGAAAUGCGUAGAUAUGCGGAGGAACACCGAUGGCGAAGGCAAUCCCCUGGGCCUGCACUGACGCUCAUGCACGAAAGCGUGGGGAGCAAACAGGAUUAGAUACCCUUGUAGUCU
RNAcentral lists this ribosomal RNA (461 nucleotides) under uncultured bacterium. Its description in RNAcentral is "bacterial SSU rRNA". It matches the Rfam family "Bacterial small subunit ribosomal RNA", at positions 343 to 796 of the family's 1533-position model. The record is from RNAcentral.